AUUCUUCCGGGGGAGGCGGGCUUGUGAGCCCUCAAAGGCGCGUGCGUGUUUUGGACCGCGAUAACUAACAAGUCAGUGGUGGCAAAAGGGUGCGCGGAGAAGCUGAGGGGAGAAAAGACGCAGAAUGUUGGCUUAAAGGAGGCGGGCUGAAAUUGACUUAUGGGCGAAAUACUCCUACAGAGUCUACGCGAAGAGGGAUUUGACGAUCUCAGGUGUAUCUUUUUUUCUACCGGGUUUCUGGGAUAGAAGGAAUGAGGUAUAAGAGGACAGAUUUCUAAGAACUGAAUUGACUCCAGGGUCUUGUUCUAUUGCCCAGGCCGGAGUGCUGUG
Long non-coding RNA from Cebus imitator (Panamanian white-faced capuchin), 330 nucleotides. RefSeq lists it as uncharacterized. Lineage: Eukaryota; Metazoa; Chordata; Mammalia; Primates; Cebidae. The record is from RefSeq and is a predicted model, not a curated record. The transcript is spliced from 3 exons.